This 1980-nucleotide long non-coding RNA is filed under the name Homo sapiens (human). Its description in RNAcentral is "HSALNT0349337". Lineage: Eukaryota; Metazoa; Chordata; Mammalia; Primates; Hominidae. The record is from RNAcentral.
GAGGGGGGCCAACCAAGCAUCCCCAGCCCCGGGGCCACCCAGCCUGCUCCGGAGGGAGGGGGCAGGGAAAAAGGGCAUCUCGGGGCCAAAACCUCAUGCCGGAUCCUCCGGCUUUCCCCCCAUUUCCAGGAUAUCGUUUCGCAUCAGGGACACUCGUCUCCACACCUCCUACCUCAAAGUCCUACGCACCUACCCUUCACGUCUCUCCAAAGCAACUGAAUUAAAGCGCCUACUGGCCUUGGCGGCGCAGGUCCCAAGAUUUUGACUGAUUGGUUGUACGACUAGAGUUGCUGGAGUUCAAGUAUUUUCAUUUUAACUAUUCAACUGAAAGCAGUGCGUUACAACAGAACACGGGUUCCAAAGAAUUUACUGAGAAGAAGCAAAGUAAUACUUGGGAGAACUAUAAUACACAGGCAUCUCAUGAAAAUCAUCCAACAUAUAGAAGAAUAUAUAGAAUAAAGCAAAAAUCAUCAGAAACUCCACCGUCUUGGAUGACCAUAGUUGAUAUUCUGAAUGGCUUCUGUUCCGAUUGAACCUUGACUGAUGUAGCACCUAUCACCAAAUUGCUGUUCAGGAAAUAUGUCCUAAAGAAACUCCCAACAGCAGCAAUACAUCAGAGUGGCACCUCUUUACACUGGUUCUUGAGAAGAUGUCAGAGUGAGAUUUGCAAUAGACUCCCAGCAGCCCCCAGGAGCACCAAGUGAGAUGCCUGCCAGGCCCACUGUGUCCACUGCCCUCUGGUAGCACCUGAGGAUCAUGGAAAUUAAAUCCUGGUAGAUAAAGGGGAAGACGUAAGGAAGACAAGACAAGGGACUGAGGAAAUGUUGGGGAAGAUGAGAACACCUCAGAAACCACAAUUGAAGAAUUCCUAGGACCCCCAGGAAAGGGGCACAUCCAGAAAGGAGAUAAGAUCAGAAGCCUUUAUUUCCACUAUUCAGCCACUCACUGCCUGAGACUUAACUUCAUUUCAAGUAAGGGGAUAAUAUUUGGCCCCUAAGUAUCUUACAAGGGUUUUGUUUUCCCUAAGAGAAAAAAAAUUAGGUAAGAUCAUAAGUAAGAAAGGAUUUUUUGAAUUAAAAAUAUAUGCAAAUGCAAGUUAUAACAAUUUUUGUUCUGGAUAUUUUUGCAGUAGAUAGAAAAGUUCUUUGUGCUGUGGCCACCUGCCUAAUGCUGUUGACUGGCUGGUAAUAGAUGCCUGGGAGUCAUUUUGAGGUUACUUAGAGCCUCUUUCCACCACCAGAUGGAAGGAAAUUGGGCAACUUCUUGAGUAAUUGGCUCUUCUGACUCACGUUUCUUGCAUUGUGACCUGGGUGCUACCCAGGAUGAGCAAGGAAUUUCCUCUCUGGAGUUGUUUAAGGAAUAGCCCAAACGUUCAGCUUCAUCUUUUUUUAAUGCCGCCUCUAACACUACCUGAGCAGCCACAGAAAAGUAUUUGCUGCUGCAGUAUUUUGGAUCAGCUGAAAUAUAUUUUGAGUAUGUACUCUGGGAAAGGCACAGAAUACCAUUUCUUUACUGAGAUUCUCUUCAAGGAUUUCCAUCCCUCCUUAAAGACCUAGUUGGGAUGGAGCAAUGUAUUUAGAACAUGAUGUGAGUACCAACAAGGAGUCGGGAGACACCUUUUAGCUGUACUUCUUUAUCUUUCUCUCCUUGCUUCCUCUGUCUCUGGUUUCCCCUUUUGCAUCUCUUGUUUUUCCUUUCUUUUCUUGUAUUACUUUCUCUUGAUCAAUAGAGCUGCCAUAGCCUUCCCAGACAUAAAUAAUCAGCUUCCUUGGAAGUACUCAGAAUGUGAACAGCUGUAGCCACUUAGACCUGGUCUUAGAUUCUCACCCCUUGUUGUGUAUUGUAAUUAUCUAGGGAACUUAAAAGGUACUGAGGCAUGGGCCCCAAUGGAAUCAUUAUCCCUGGGGGGUGGGGUGGGCCCUAGACCUGGUAUUUUCAAAAACUUUCAAAAAUUAUUCUAACACAUACGCAGAUUAAACU